Molecule: long non-coding RNA, 702 nt
Organism: Panonychus citri (citrus red mite)
Lineage: Eukaryota; Metazoa; Arthropoda; Arachnida; Trombidiformes; Tetranychidae
Exons: 2
Source: RefSeq, a predicted model, not a curated record
AUUAAUUGUAACUUAAGGAGAAAGAUUAACUUUUUUCGCUCCUAAUAAUUUUUAAUUUAAUUAACUUUACUUGUGAAUUUAAAAUUAAAUUUUGUGUUAUUAUUGUUAAUCUCAUCACAAGGAUCAAGUUGAUACCAAAAUUAUGAUAGUUCAACAGUUACUUUAGUUGUUCUUGUUACUCUUAAAACUGAUGCUUUUAUUUAUUUAAUAACUUCAACCAUUUUAGUUUUCUUGUUAAACUUUUUUGGACCUGAUCUUGGCCUUCGUCUCAACCUACUGAUGCCUAUUUCAUAUUCAAAUUUAAACAAUCUCACUGUUCAAAAACCAAGCUGAUGAAUCCAAGACAACAAGACACUUACGAUUGGAGGACUGGUAUUUAAUGAAUGAAGAAAAUAUUGUAAACAAACUAAAGAUUUUCAAUGAAAUUGUAAAAAUACUACAAGCAAAAAUUGUAAGAACUGAGCGUUUAGCUCAGUGCCCACAAGGGCCACCCUCUCGGGUGCUAAAUGCCUAAUGAAUUACCUCCGACCUUGGGAGGAUAGUAAAUUGUAAUCAAUCAACAAUUGAAUGAAAAAUAUUUACAAUUAUACAAUUGAUACUUAUUUAGUAGUCAAUUAUAAUAAUCGUAAGUGAAAAUAUUUCAAGUUCAAUUUUUUAAUUUUCUAAAAACGAUUAACCAAUAAAACAAUUGGACCGAUUUAA